RNAcentral lists this ribosomal RNA (206 nucleotides) under uncultured bacterium. Its description in RNAcentral is "partial 16S ribosomal RNA". It matches the Rfam family "Bacterial small subunit ribosomal RNA", at positions 29 to 264 of the family's 1533-position model. The record is from RNAcentral.
AGCGAACGCUGGCGGCAGGCCUAACACAUGCAAGUCGAGCGGCCGUAGCAAUACGGCAGCGGCAGACGGGAUAGUAACACGUGGGAACNCGCCCUUCGGUUCGGAAUAACUCAGGGAAACUUGAGCUAAUACCGGAUACGCCUUACGGGAAAGAUUUAUUGCCGAGGAACGGCCGCGUCCGAUUAGCUAGUUGGUGAGGUAAUGGG